GAAACAGUAGCAGUGCUUUACAAUCUUGUCAUGCGUUAGUGCCUGUUGUCCAUUUUGCAGAUGAAGAAACUGAGGCUCAGAGAGGUCAGGUGAUUUGCCCUGUGGCUCACAGCCAGGACCUGGUCUUCAGACUCCACAUCCCUUGUGGGUUUAGAGUUCUGUAGCUGUAUCCCCCUCUUAGGAAAGUGCUGGGGAUGGUGUGAGGUGGGGCAGGAAUGACUGAUGGCUGCUGCUUCUACCUCCCGCCAGGAGAUGAGCUGCCCUGUGACAUGCGGAUCCCAUCUGACAAGCAGGACAAGCUUCAUGGCUGCCUGGAGCACCUCUUUAACCAGGUGGACUCCAUCAAUGCUCUCCUCAAGGGGCCAGUCAUGAGCCGGGCUUUCGAAGAGACCAAGCAUUUCCCCAUGAACCACAGCUUACAAGGUGAGGGGAUAGCCAGUCCAAGGUGACAGCCUGCGAUGGGGAAGGGUGUUAGACA
This 478-nucleotide small RNA is filed under the name Pan troglodytes (chimpanzee). RNAcentral describes it as "processed transcript". The record is from RNAcentral. Lineage: Eukaryota; Metazoa; Chordata; Mammalia; Primates; Hominidae.